Molecule: ribosomal RNA, 464 nt
Filed under: uncultured bacterium
Lineage: Bacteria
Description: partial 16S ribosomal RNA
Rfam family: Bacterial small subunit ribosomal RNA
Source: RNAcentral
GACGAACGCUGGCGGCGUGCUUAACACAUGCAAGUCGAACGGUAAGGCCCCAGCUUGCUGGGGUACACGAGUGGCGAACGGGUGAGUAACACGUGGGUAACCUGCCCCGCACUUCGGGAUAAGCCUGGGAAACUGGGUCUAAUACCGGAUAGGACCGCACCGUGAGGGUGUGGUGGAAAGUUUUUCGGUGUGGGAUGGGCCCGCGGCCUAUCAGCUUGUUGGUGGGGUAAUGGCCUACCAAGGCGGCGACGGGUAGCCGGCCUGAGAGGGUGGACGGCCACAUUGGGACUGAGACACGGCCCAGACUCCUACGGGAGGCAGCAGUGGGGAAUAUUGCACAAUGGGCGGAAGCCUGAUGCAGCGACGCCGCGUGGGGGAUGACGGCCUUCGGGUUGUAAACUCCUUUCACCAUCGACGAAGGUUUUCUGACGGUAGAUGGAGAAGAAGCACCGGCUAACUACGUG